Molecule: ribosomal RNA, 500 nt
Filed under: uncultured bacterium
Lineage: Bacteria
Description: partial 16S ribosomal RNA
Rfam family: Bacterial small subunit ribosomal RNA
Source: RNAcentral
AUUGAACGCUGGCGGCAUGCUUUACACAUGCAAGUCGAACGGUAACAGGGUGCUUGCACCGCUGACGAGUGGCGAACGGGUGAGUAAUGCGUCGGAACGUGCCGAGUAGUGGGGGAUAACGCAGCGAAAGUUGUGCUAAUACCGCAUACGUACUGAGGUAGAAAGUGGGGGACCUUCGGGCCUCACGCUAUUCGAGCGGCCGACGUCUGAUUAGCUAGUAGGUGAAGUAAAGGCCCACCUAGGCGACGAUCAGUAGCGGGUCUGAGAGGAUGGUCCGCCACACGGGUACUGAGACACUGCACAGACUCCUACGGUAAGCAGCAGUGGGGAAUUUUGGACAAUGGGCGAAAGCCUGUUCCAGCCAUGCCGCGUGUCUGAAUAAGGCCUUCGAGUUGUAAAGGACUUUUGUCAGGGAGGAAAUCCCUAGUGCUAAUAACACUGGGGGAUGACAGUACCUGAAGAAUAAGCACCGGCUAACUACGUGCCAGCAGCCGCAGUAA